GUAUUGAUUGCGGGUUAGCGCAUAAAUGAGGUCAUUCUACACUUUUUAAAAGGGGUGUUUGUGUGAAAACGCGAGCCUCCUCCGAGAUGAUCCCAAAGGGUGCCCACGCGGUGAUGCACAAAGGGGUAAGAUGGAUAUUUGUAUGUGAGAGGACUCGGGCGUGCACGACAAAAAAAAGCCAGCGACAACCCUCGUACCCCCAUUGUACGAUAAUGAUCCUUCCGCAGGUUCACCUACGGAAA
Molecule: unclassified non-coding RNA, 242 nt
Filed under: uncultured fungus
Lineage: Eukaryota; Fungi
Description: sequence contains ITS1
Source: RNAcentral